Molecule: ribosomal RNA, 305 nt
Filed under: Betaproteobacteria bacterium
Lineage: Bacteria; Pseudomonadati; Pseudomonadota; Betaproteobacteria
Description: partial 23S ribosomal RNA
Rfam family: Bacterial large subunit ribosomal RNA
Source: RNAcentral
GUCCCUAUCUGCUGUGGGCGCUGGAAGUUUGAGGGAGCCUGCUCCUAGUACGAGAGGACCGGAGUGGACACACCUCUGGUGUACCUGUUGUCACGCCAGUGGCAUUGCAGGGUAGCUAAGUGUGGAAGAGAUAACCGCUGAAGGCAUCUAAGCGGGAAACUCGUCUCAAGAUAAGACUUCCCGGGGGCUAGACCCCCCUAAAGGGUCGUUCAAGACCAGGACGUUGAUAGGCUGGGUGUGGAAGCGCAGUAAUGUGCGAAGCUAACCAGUACUAAUUGCCCGUGCGGCUUGACUCUAUAACUCUG